CAGACCCAGGGUCUUCAUGCUGAGUUACAUCCCCAGUGCAUUUAAAAAAAUUAUUUUUAUGUUGAGAAGGUCUCGCUGAGUUAUUCAGGAUGGGCAGUAACCUGCAAUCUUCCUGCCUCAGCCUCCCAGAGUGCUGGGCUUACAGGUAUGCACCCCAUACCUGACUGACAAGCCUCUCGGGGCUCCUCAGAGACCCUCCAGCCCAAAUUCAUCCUUUUACAGGAGAGGGAACAGUGACCCAGAAGGGUGGCAGAGCUUGGGUAGCACAGGGAGAGGCCAGCAGGCUCUUUACUAGGCUGCCUGCUUUCCUCCAUGUCCUGCCUUCCUUGACAUCUUGGCAUCCACAACCUUCCCAUUUUGGUUUCUGUGAUUCCCCUGAGCUGCCUGCAUUGGUAUUGGGCCUCUUGAAGAGUGGGUGCUGCUUUUACUCUGCAACAGAUGAAUUUGUAUGUGCUAUGAAAGUUGAAGGCCCAGACUUUCAAGUGCAAAUCUGGUGGCUGCCCCAGGAAGACCUAGGGCUCUGCUGGGAUCACCUUUGCCCUCUCACCUGUGGUAACUGCCUGUGCACCCUACAGAAAGCCCGCAAGCAGCAUGGGCCGGAAGAAGGUGUGGCCCAUCAGUACCGGGAUUGCACCAGCUUGAGGUGUGGUCUCUAGGGACGGAGCCCACUUAGAACACUGCCCACCAUACACACCUAGAAGGGUAGGCCAGACCUGCAGGGUCAGGUUACUGCCUGAGCCUGGGACAGUCUCCCUUUUCCAGCUUCCCGGUCACCUUGCAUUAGCUUCUAGCCUGGUAUUUUUCACCCUCGUAGUGUGAGAUCCUGUGAGGCCCCAGUGGAGACCGCGGAGGCAGUUCUGUAGUAAUGCCCAUAUCCACCACAUUUUACACACAGCAUGGAGAGAUUCGUGGGUUCCCUGAAUCCCCUGGCUCACGAUAGACUCUAAAUCCUUCUGGCAUUUUGGAAGUCAGAUCUGAGCUAUCCCUACCCGCUAGCUACAUCUCAAGGAAAGCUCACACGCUACCUAGUCCCAAAUGCCUCGGAAAGGCUGCGUCCCCCUCCCCAGUGCCCACCUCCCACUCUGCCCCUGAACUUGACCCCAUUUUGCCUUAUCUCAAGUCCAGGCUCUUCUGGGUGCCAGCUCUGAAGUUGGCACUGGCUGACGUGCGAGGAGAGAGACUGUGAGUACCGACAGCUGCUAAGUGCUGUCCCUCAUCAGCUCGGGAGGCCACAGAUUGCCACAUUCUUCACAGAGGGCGUCUGAGGGCCGGAGUGGGUGGAAGGAGCAGAGAGGCCAGCGGAGAAGCAGGACGGGAUGGGGGUCAGCCAGACUGAGGACCCUCUGCCAAUCCAAGACCCUGUCCCAACCCCCUCCAAGGAAGGGUGAUAGAGGAAAUUGUGGCCUCCUGGCCGGGGCCUGGCAGGAGAUGCUGUCAGCCUCUGCGUGGAGGGGAAGGGACGGGAGGGCUGAACUCUGGGGGGACCAGGGCAGGGUAGAGCAUGGGAAGCCCGAGUAGAAGGAUUGGGACUCAGGGUGGGCCGGGACUCUGAGGAGUGAGAGCAGCCUGCUGGCCCGAGAGGGGCCGAGGCCGCCCAGGGGUGGCCCAAGCCUCCGAAGUGCCUUUGGCUGAAGAAAGCUGCUUAAUCUCCCCCUGGAAAUCAGGAAGUUGGAACCCGCACAGCUGAUUACAGAGCCAGAGGAGCUAUUUCGGAGGAAAGAUGAAAAGAAUUAAAGUCAGCUCAGAAGGGAGCCGAUGAGAGGGAGCCGGAGGCAGUGAAACUCCAGGAAGGCGAGGGAUCUUCACCUUGACCAAGUUAGCAGGAGCAGAUUUGGCAGGAGCAGGGGCCUGAGGGGACUUAGCACAAAGCAGCCUCCCUGUCCCUUAGGAGGAGUGUGGCUCCCAGGCUAGGCCAGGCUUUAGCAUCAUGGGGGAGACAGGAAUCCACUGGGAGAUGGCGACUAUGGAGCCAGAGUUGGGAGAAAGAGAAGAAGAGUCGCUGGAGGUGGAGUUUCUUGCCUGUGCAUCCAGCCAUACCGAGCUGUACGUAGUUCCUGAGCCCUGUACCUGGCCGCUCUGCUCCCAGGCUUUGCACUGCUGAGUCCUUCCUUUGGUCACUCCCUAAUUCCUACCUAACCUUCAAGUCUUAGAUGUCACUGCCUCCAGGGAGUCUCUCACCCCCUCAGCAUUUGCUCUUCCUCUACAAGGACCGCAUUGGGCCACAGGGCCACCUGGUGUACUCCUUAGGUCCUGUCUGUCACCCGCUCUGGUCCCUGCCUGCCUUGAGGAUGAAGCCUCUGUCUUCAUCCUGAACCCCAGUGCCCAGGACAGUGUGUGGCAUGCUGCACAGGCUGUUGACUGCUGAAAGCAGCAUGCGUCACUGCACGUGUUGUGAUCGAAAAUCCCUUGUACACACGCUCCCACAGUGACACCACAGGACCCUGAGAUUAACUACACAUGUAUUUAAUCUUCUCGGGAUUCAGUCUUAGUCAUUCCCAGGGCCUAGAACAGCCUCAGACAAGAUCAAUGUCCAACAAAUGUGGAAGGAAGGAAGGAAGAACCAACACAAGAUGAAGGCUCAACAGCACACCCGGAGAAAGCUCACUGUGGCCGUGGCAGGUGUUGAGAGUCAGACUGCAGACAGGAGAUCGAGCCAGGGGCGCAAGUUGAGAGCAGGAAGAGAAAGCUAUAGAGGGCCUCCUGUAUAUCCGCACUGCCCCAGAGCUUGUCUCCCACUCUAUGGUGCUUCAUGAAGAAUGGGAGUUUUGAGCAGAAUUUUGAAAAACAGAAGUCUCGUCUUUGGGAAGAAGGAUCUCAAGCCCAGGUCAGGUGGGGGGUUUCUGGGAAGGUUGGGUGCUGGCUCUGUGCUUCCCUGAGCUUCUGUAAGCUUCUUUGUGACCCAGAAGCCAGGAGAAAAUGAACAGAGCAAGGGCCGAUGCAGUGGAGGAGGGCAGCAGUGGAGCAGAGAGCGGUUAAGGUCGGCCUCUCAAACAGAGCUCUGCAGCCUCCUCUUGGCAGAGGGUGGGACUUUCCAAAGGGGCGAUGAAGACACAACACUUGCUGAGUGGCAAGUGCUGAACCACCCACUUGUUAAUACAUUUAGCCAUUAUUGUAGCUCUUGGUGGUACUGGGGAUUGAGCCCAGGGCCUUUGUAUUGAGCUACGUCCCAGCCCUUUUUAAAAUUUUUAGCUUUGAGACAAGGUUUCUGCUAUGAUUUGAAUCUUGAAUGCUCCCCCAAAGGCUCGUGUGUUGAGGUUGGGCUUUCAAAAGGUGAUUGGAUCAUGAGGCAUUAGGCUUAUCAGUGGCCCCAACACAGAGGUCGACAGGAGUCUGCCCACCAAGCUAUCCUGGGAGUAUGGUUAGGGUCUGGUUGAAGGAAUAAGAGGGGUCGAGUGAAAGGAAAGACUUACACCCCACACUUAUAAGUUAGAAAAUCAUUUGGGGCAGGGAACCCUUAAAAGCAGAGGGAUGGGGGUAGGAGCAAUCUCUGAUGGUCUGAACCUUGGUGUGUGGAGAAAUUGACCUUGCCUCAGUGGCCUUGGGAUACACCAUUCCACCAAUCCUAUCCUCAUCCCUCAAAGAAGGUAUGGCCCUCCGAGGGAAGUGCCAUAAGGCUAUGACCAUGGCGGGUGUUCCUAGCUAUUUCUCUGGAUAGCUCUGUUUCCUCUUCCACCCAGCUGCUGAGCAGGAGAGCCAAGCCAGAGUCCACAAGCAGGACCCUCCCCCUGGCCUGCCGUUUGUUCGUGCUGGAUGCCUGCUGCCCUGGGACUGGGUGGGCCCUGGUGGGUGGUCCCACUCUGUGGCCUAUCUCUUUCUCCCUUCAGAGCAGGCCUCCCAAACAAAGGAGCUUGGAGCCCUUGGUAGCUUGGCCCUCAUUUCAUUUUAAUUAGUGACUACCUGCUCCCAUCCCUGCGCCUUUGGUAGUCUUGGUGGGCCAAUGUCACAGUCACGGGCUAGUCUCCUGUCCCUGUUCAAAACGUCCAGAGACACUUGGAAAGAGUUCAACAGCCAAGCUAUGGGAUGAUGGAAGAUGGUGACUCCCACAAUGGUCCUGGUCUUCCCAUUUGUGUUGGGGGAGAGGAGGAAUUUUGUAUCAGAACACUAGGAGGUACAUCAAAGCCAAAUUCAAGAGACACUUGCCCAGAAUGAGAGCUUUGGUUCUGGCUUCCUGGGAUCUCCUACAUCUUCUCUCAUGGCCACAACAGAGCAGACUCCAGCCACCACUGCCACCACCCCACCUUAUGGUUAGUUGCCAAGCAGCCUCAUGAUCUUAGACCAAGUGUCUUACUUUCUGUUCUGUCACUAAGACACAGUGCCUGGCACCUGAAAAUUCAAGGGAGCAAACGUUAUUUUGGCUCCUAGUUACAGUCCACGGUGAGCUGACACCAAGGAAAGACCCCGUGGCAGAGGGGCAUAGCGGAGGACAAGCUGCUUGCAUCAUGGCGGUAGGGAAGCAGAGAAGAAUGGACCAAGCUGGGGAGGGAGAUGAACCCUUCCAAGCCACGCUCCCAGUGACCCACCUCUUCUGACCAGACCCCACCUCCUAACAGCAAGCCAGCUCGAAGCCCCUAGAACCCUGUCACCUUUCAAAAGUCCCACCUUUGAGGCCCCAUGGGGCUCUUGGGGACACCCAGAUGUAAACCAUAACACCAUGGUUCCUGCUCGCAUCAGCCCCAUGAGGCAGGCACCUCAGAGAUGAUUGGCCCCUUGUAGAGAUGAGGAAAUGAGAAACUUGUGUCUUUUUCAAGACACAUGGUUGCUGAGUGACGUCGGCUGCACCGUUGGGCUUGUAGGCAGCAGGACCAGAAGGUACUCCAGGAUGAGGAGAAGCAGGCCUUGGGUGACACAGUCAGGAGUUCACAGCAAUCGGAGGGAUGAGUGGUCCCAGUUGCUCUGCACCCAGAAAGUCCCUCCCUGAGUCACUGCGCCUAUUGCUGCCUGAAACCCAGCACCUUCCCCAGGGAGCUCCGUGAAUCAUCUCCUUUCUGCUCUCUCUCAGGUGCUCCCGGCCAGGCCCUCUUGGCUCUCGUAGGAUCUGACUCAGAUGAGAAGACUGAGGCCCGGAAAUAUGCAAGUGAUGUGCCCAAGGCCCUAAAGCAAGCAAGUAAGGAAGUAGGUGUACGUCUGCCCUGUUUCUGGAGGUGUCUGGGUGCUUGCUGCGUGGGACUCCCUUCUGGUGUCUGCAUUUCUGUGAAGGCAGGACAGAAGAGGUGACUGGCAGCAGGUUGGGAGAAUUUUCCUGCACAUGGUCACUCAGAGACAGUGAGUCAGGCACUUUAUUUUGAGGUCGGUUUCCUCUUUCACUUCCCCAAACAAUUGCUGGGGAGUGAGCUCACUUGUCACCUGGUCUCAAACCAAGAUCUGACAUACUUGCACAGCGGGGCCCUGGAGGGAUUAAUAAUAAUGAUCCAAAAGGAGGCCAGCACCCCUGUUCCAGGACUCCUGCCCUCUUGGCCAAUCACCCCCCAGCUGGAGGGCUUCUCUCUAGCCUGUUCCCACAGCCUCCUGCCUGUUUCUUGACCUCAGUCUCUUUCCCAUUCAACCCUCCCUGUGACUGAGCUAUGAACAGCUCUCCUCACCUCUCAGAAUUCCUCCGGCCUCAGCUUGGCUCUCGAGGCUCCACCCACUCAGGUCCCUAACUAUCUUCCCACUUUGGCUCCACCUCUCUUCCUUGGCUAUGAAACUGCCUUCAGCCAAGCUGGAGACUGGCCUAGACAUGCUUCAUGUUUUCCCAACUCCAAGCUUCCUGCCAUAGCAUUCCCUUGGCCUGGAAAGCCACUCCCACGCUCUCUGGAUUUCUACCCAUCCUUCAAAGCCUGUGACAAAUGUGACCUCCUUCCUGAAGCCCUCCUGAUUUCACCACCAGGAAACGCUCUCUCCCUCCUGUGAUGUCUCAUAGCUCCUGGUACACAGAUCUCGACACAAACAACUCUCCGUGUAUUGUGGUGGUGCCGUAAAGCUUUGGGUGUUUACAGAGUUAUGGAGACUGUGGGAUUCUGCAACACUGCUUGUGCACCUCUGUGUCUGUGUGUUUGUGUGAGGUGAAGGGCGGAGCCCUUGUACAUCAGGAAGGGAUGGGUCAUGGCGUCCAGCACUUUUGCUCCGCCAAUGAACAGCCAGGCUUCUUUCUUGGAGGACAGAAGUCCCUCACAAUCAAACCCACAAACACUCUUGGAGGAAGAAAGGAGAGACGGAAGAAGCGAAUACACAUAUACAGCUCAUUUCCUGCAUCCCAGGCACUGUGGGAGAGGGGAAAUUUCCCACGAGCAAUGUGCUCACUUAACACUCAGUAGCUGUAAAGGGCAGAAUGAGUAGUACCAAGGGCCAGGCUCACACGGUGGGUGUGCUGAGUGGUGUUCACAGAGCGACUCUGCCAGAGGGUCAUGGGACAGGAUCAGGCAGGGGAUGAUGAACCACAGAAAGGUGCCCCCAAGGCCUCAGCUGCUUCCAUGGGGUGCGCUGAAGCUUGAGUACUCUUCAGUGAUGUUACCCUUAGGGGCAACCAGGCUGGAUCUUUGUACUCCUGGGAAUGGGCAUAACUGGGCACUAUGGAUGCCUUCAGCUGACGGCAUCCCCUGAGAAGCAGUAGCCUCCAUCCAGGGACUGUGGAUCAGAGAAACGCCUGCCUUACAAGUGUGGCACUGCUGGCAAGCGAAAGGGCUGGGGAUUAACCUCAGCCGGCCUGACUCCUGGUGCCCACAGGCUUUGUCCUGAGGUAGUGCGUGGCUUUUAACCUACCUCAGAGGUGAGCAUGGCCACCCUGCGUCCAAGAUACAUCAUUCGGUAUGAAUGGAAGUUCACACCCAGAAGGAUCCCUGAAAAGAAUGGUCUCCCCUUUCCUGAAAGAUCUCAGGCGGAUCUAGUGUUAAAUGGUAGCUGUGAGAAGGUAGGCACGGGUCCUCUUGUUUUUCUGUUGCUGCCUGGUUUUUAAUCCCACUUUGACAACUUUGGGGGUGGGAUCUGAGUGCGAUAUUCAAAAUCCUGAACAACCUGGUAAACACCCAGAACCCCAGAGUGGGCUCUGGCAGAGUGGCACCUGCUCCAGAUGAGCGUUAAACCUGGGGGCCCAGGGGGCAUCCCAGCCUGCGAUUCCUGAUUAAACCGAGAGGUGGAGCAUGUGAGACAGAGACGUCAUCUAUCCUGGGCCUCUUCCUAUUGUGGGGCCUGCACAUCAGUCUGCCCCGUAUGCUCCUGUGCCUGGCCCAGUUUGCUACACGAAGUCUGUGCGACUGCUGUGGACUCAUUUAUUAAAACGAGAGGUUUCCAAUCCUGUUUCUCCUUGAAACAGAAGAAUCUGGUGAAGCCCCUCAGGGGAGGGGAGGCGAGCGGGCCAGGGCAAGGCCUCCUACCCUACUUCAGCUGGAACAGUGCACCUUGUAUUUGUUUAUGCCUCCAUACGGUUUCACUCAGACCCCACAUUCCUGAGCUAAAAACAAAAAGCUCAGAAACCACCCGGCUGCACAUGAUGUGUGAGUGAGGCCCUUCGUGUGUAGCUCUGACACGCUCCGAUAUAAGUGAGCAAAUGGACGGGUGGAUGCAGGAACGAGUGAAUGAAAGGAUGAACUCUUUGCGCACCUAGCCAGCAUCAGCCUGAUCCCAGCCACACCUGUUCUCAGAGCAGGCGGCCGGCUGUCCCGAGUCCUCUGAAAAUCUACACAGAUCAGAUGCCGAUCCCGAAGUCCUGACAAUGAGCAGAUUCUGCCUAUCUCCACCACUGGCCCUGACGAGGGCCUUCCCUUUAGGUGUCUCGGAUGUCACUGGGUCUGAACAGGAGAGUCACCCACGGUGAGUUCUCCUGCACUCGUCUUCUUUGGCUCUCCCAGAAUGUUGACUCAGCUGAAAGACUCUGACAGCAGCAGCGCAAGUUGCUGGCGGGUUCGGCAGUAGAAUCAUUAGGUCUUCUCGGUGUGCGUCCCGGGGUGGGGCACUGGAUCAGGCUGGCGUCGGUCCCCUUUCAUCCCGGGAAAGGGCUCCCAAGUUUGGCCUGGAUUUCUUCCCUUAUCCUUUUCUCAGCCUCCCCCCACUUCCUUUCCAUCCUCCUUUCCUCCCUCUAAAGCAGUAGUGCUCAACCUUGGCUGUGCGUGUUAAUUGCUUAGGGAGACGUAAAUAUUUCCGAUGCCCAGAAACUUUUACUAUUUGGUUUGGGGCGUGGCCUUGGCAGCAGGACUUUUAAAAGCUCCCCAGGUAAUUCUACUGUCCAGCCAAGGUUGAGCAUCAUGACCUGAGGAUGCAGGGGUAGGAUCUUCACUUUAGCCGGGGGAUUCAGUUGUGUGGGCUGGAUUUAGAGCAGAGACAUCCAUUAGCAGCAGGGGAGGGAAGUAGAGCCUCGCCAUACCUCCGGCCCUGUGAGACUCAGGGAGGUCAGUUCUGUUCGGUGUCCAAAUGACAAGGUGUGACAGCACCGGGGAACACAUCAGAGCACGUGGAGGCUCCAGGGCAGCAAUGCACCAGGUCCACAGUGCUGUCGCAGAGCCUCAGGGGCUGCAGUUUGGAGAGCUGUAGACCUCACCAAGGGCCUGGGCAGCAGCACUGUCACAGAGUCUGCUGGCAGCAAGGCCUCCCCUGCAGUGACCACGGGCAGCACACGCAAGGGGUGGAACAGAAUGAGAACGGGGAAGACUUCGUGAGAUGUGGCGUCCACUUUCAGUUGCACUCCUGUCUGUGACUACAUGUGGAAUAUGCCCAGGGGACCCCACAUCACGGAGUGAGCUUGUGGCAGAUAGGAGCAAGCACAGUGAAAUCUGCUCCUUUUACUGAUGGAUCUGUGGGAUGGUGAAGUGUAGGGUCAUAGAUGGGAGUCACCGUCGUGAAACUGGUGGUGGUGGCCACGUGGUAAGGUCUGGCUGACAUUUGCCAGCCUUGUCUAAACGUGCCCCUUAGCUGCUCGGCCCCAUGAGUAGUUUUCUCUCCAUACAUGAACCACGCAAUCGAGGGCUCCUCAAGUCUCACUUCCCCUGCGUGUAUGUUCUCAGUGUGAAGUGUUUGCUUUGCUUCCUGUGCAAGUUCUCCCUCUCCUUU
This is a long non-coding RNA of Fukomys damarensis (Damara mole-rat), 9018 nucleotides long. RefSeq lists it as uncharacterized. NCBI's taxonomy places the organism in Eukaryota, Metazoa, Chordata, Mammalia, Rodentia, Bathyergidae. The transcript is spliced from 5 exons. The record is from RefSeq and is a predicted model, not a curated record.